UACUCUCACAAAAUUUGAUUCCUUUAUUCUCAGAUUCUGAUUUUCCCAUUCAAAGAUUCGACCCUUUUUUUUUUUUUUGUUCUGAUUCAAUUGAAACAAAUCUGAUUAUGUUGAGGUUGUUGUGUUCAUAGGUACGUGAAGAGAAUCUAUGGUUAUCUUGUGACCGUGAAGAUCAAAGGGCUUUUACUAACGCGUAUGGAUUCCACAUAUGCUGGUGAUUUCAUCGUUUGUUUUAUCAGUGUGGUUCAGAUCUUGGAGCUUCUGGGUGGCCAAAGGACGCUGUAUCGGCUUACCAUGCCACUACUAAUUCAUGCUAUGGUGAUUUCGUUCAACCAGACCAGGUGACCAAUCAUAGCAUUGAGAAAAACUUCACAUAAGGGAGGGGGCUAAAGAUUCGAGCUCGACAGCCUCAGAACCGUUCGAGUACAAGAUUGAUAAAACCAGGGCAUUGCUCCUAGAAGAAUCUGUCUGCAGGUGCAUUCUAGCUCUGUACCUCCUGAUGAUAAGAAUCAAAUUGAAGUAAAACACCGGGAAGAGGUGAAUGAAGGACUCACUGAUAUUCCUGAGGACAAACAAGUUGUAGCUAAAGACUCAGAGAAGAGUGAUUCUUUGGUGAAACCUCAAAUAAAGCUCAGGACGCGGGGAACUAUAGGGCAAGUGAAAGCAGACAGAGUUGUAGAGGACGAGUUGUGCAGAAAUUGUAUGUGUUUGAAAGGUUUAAGCUAAGUAUAAGCUAUGUCGAAGCUAACAAAGGUAAUGUGCUGGAAAUUGAUGACAAUUAAGAAAGAUGAACUGAAUGAAGUUGGUGCUGCCAUUUACCAGAAGCCAAUGUCGAAUAAAUGCUACAAUGAAAGAUCUCAAAAUGAGCCACCUCUCUGCAAAGACUCUGAUGAUCAAAAUGCCGCCUGAAUGUUCCACCUGAGGCAUGUAUGCACAAGGUAACAGAAGAUUCAUCAAAACGCGGAGUAGUUUGGCCUGAAAGUUGGCCUAAAAGAGUGGAGACUGUUCCUCAGUGGUUAGAUUCUCAUAAAGGUGUAUAUGGAAAACCUGCACAAGAGGAUUUCACAGCAGACCAUGAACGCUGGAAGACUAUUGUUUCAAAGUCAUACCUCAACGGUAUGGGAAUUGACUAGUCUUAUGUGAGAAAUGUAAUGGACGUGAGAGCUGUGUAUGGAGGGUAAGCAAAAGCUUAUGCAAUCUUAAAACACAUAUUUAAUUAAAAAAAUUAGACACCCAAGGAUGACUAAUGGGAGGACAAAAA
Camelina sativa (false flax) is the source of this 1261-nucleotide long non-coding RNA. RefSeq lists it as uncharacterized. The record is from RefSeq and is a predicted model, not a curated record. NCBI's taxonomy places the organism in Eukaryota, Viridiplantae, Streptophyta, Magnoliopsida, Brassicales, Brassicaceae.